GACAGAGGGUGCAAACGUUGUUCGGAAUUACUGGGCGUAAAGCGCGUGUAGGCUGUUCCGCAAGUCGGAUGUGAAAGCCCUGGGCUCAACCUAGGAAGUGCACUCGAAACUGCGGAACUGGAGUCCUGGAGAGGAAGGCGGAAUUCUCGGUGUAGAGGUGAAAUUCGUAGAUAUCGAGAGGAACACCGGUGGCGAAGGCGGCCUUCUGGACAGUGACUGACGCUGAGACGCGAAAGCGUGGGGAGCAAACAGG
Molecule: ribosomal RNA, 253 nt
Filed under: uncultured bacterium
Lineage: Bacteria
Description: partial 16S ribosomal RNA
Rfam family: Bacterial small subunit ribosomal RNA
Source: RNAcentral